UGUCGUUGGAGAGGAAGUGAGCAACAAGCAAGUGAUAUUCAAGGACUAUUUCACUGGUUUUCCCAAGGAAUCAAACAUGUAUGUGACCACAAGUACCAUAAAAUUGAAGGUUCCAGAGGGCUCCAAUGCUGUUCUUUUGAAGAAUCUGUACUUGUCCAGUGACCCUUAUAUGCGUAUCCUAAUGUAGCGAGUUGUUCCUAAUGGGCUCUCCAAUUACACACCUGGCUCUCCACUAAUCGGUUAUGGAGUAGCUAAAGUUUUGGAUUCUAGGCACCCAGACUUCAAGGUAGGUGACUUAGUUUGGGGACCUAAUACAAGAUGGGAAGAGUAUAGUGUAAUCACGGAAACUAAAAGCUUAAAAAAGAUAAAGCAUAGCAAUGUAUCCCUUUCCUACUAUACAGGCCUUCUUGGUAUGCCUGGUAUGAUUGGUUAUGCUGGUUUCCAUGAAGUUUGUUCUCCUAACAAAGGAGAAUAUGCCUUCGUUUCAACAGCAUCUGGUGCAAUUGGUCAGCUUGUUGGACAAUUUGCAAAAUUGUUUGGUUGUUAUGUUGUUGGAAGUGCUGGAAGUAAAGAAAAGGUAUAUUCUAUUAGGAUAUAUGUA
Molecule: long non-coding RNA, 601 nt
Organism: Quercus lobata
Lineage: Eukaryota; Viridiplantae; Streptophyta; Magnoliopsida; Fagales; Fagaceae
Exons: 3
Source: RefSeq, a predicted model, not a curated record